RNAcentral lists this transfer RNA (72 nucleotides) under Hortaea werneckii EXF-2000. Its description in RNAcentral is "tRNA-Ser (GCT) (tRNA-Ser-GCT-2-1)". It matches the Rfam family "tRNA". Rfam says of the family: Transfer RNA (tRNA) molecules are approximately 80 nucleotides in length. The record is from RNAcentral. Lineage: Eukaryota; Fungi; Ascomycota; Dothideomycetes; Mycosphaerellales; Teratosphaeriaceae.
GGCACUUUGGCGGAGUGGUUAACGCGCUGCCCUGCUAAGUCGGGCGCGUGAGUUCGAAUCUCACAGGUGUCG